RNAcentral lists this ribosomal RNA (372 nucleotides) under uncultured organism. RNAcentral describes it as "partial 16S ribosomal RNA". It matches the Rfam family "Bacterial small subunit ribosomal RNA", at positions 526 to 896 of the family's 1533-position model. The record is from RNAcentral.
AGAGGGGUGCAAGCGUUAAUCGGAAUUACUGGGCGUAAAGGGCGCGUAGGCGGAUAUUUAAGUUAGAUGUGAAAUCCCUGGGGCUUAACCUAGGAACUGCAUUUAAAACUGGGUAUCUAGAGUAUUGUAGAGGGUAGUGGAAUUUCCGGUGUAGCGGUGAAAUGCGUAGAGAUCGGAAGGAACACCAGUGGCGAAGGCGGCUACCUGGACAAAUACUGACGCUGAGGCGCGAAAGCGUGGGGAGCAAACAGGAUUAGAUACCCUGGUAGUCCACGCUGUAAACGAUGAGAACUAGAUGUUGGCCAGCUUGACUGGUUAGUGUCGCAGCUAACGCGAUAAGUUCUCCGCCUGGGAAGUACGGCCGCAAGGCUA